Molecule: unclassified non-coding RNA, 253 nt
Filed under: uncultured Rhodobacterales bacterium
Lineage: Bacteria; Pseudomonadati; Pseudomonadota; Alphaproteobacteria; Rhodobacterales
Description: contains 16S-23S intergenic spacer region
Rfam family: Bacterial small subunit ribosomal RNA
Source: RNAcentral
UACGGAGGGGGUUAGCGUUGUGCGGACUUACUGGUCGUAAAGCGCGCGUCGGCGGAGCAGCAAGUUGGGGGUGAAAUCCCGGGGCUCAACCCCGGAACGGCCUCCAAAACUCCUGGUCUUGAGUUCGAGAGAGGUGAGUGGAAUUCCGAGUGUAGAGGUGAAAUUCGUAGAUAUUCGGAGGAACACCAGUGGCGAAGGCGGCUCACUGGCUCGAUACUGCCGCUGAGGUGCGAAAGUGUGGGGAGCAAACAGG